AUACGUAGGGGGCAAGCGUUAUCCGGAAUUAUUGGGCGUAAAGCGUGCGCAGGCGGCUAAGAAGGUCAGGGGUGAAAGGCAUUGGCUUAACCAAUGUAAGCCUUUGAAACCGAUUAGCUUGAGUGCAGGAGGGGAAAGUGGAAUUUCUAGUGUAGCGGUGGAAUGCGUAGAUAUUAGAAGGAACACCAGUGGCGAAGGCGACUUUCUGGACUGUGACUGACGCUGAGGCACGAAAGCGUGGGUAGCGAACAGGAUUAGAUACCCUGGUAGUCCACGCUGUAAACGAUGAAUACUAGGUGUCUGCGGGCGACCGUAGGUGCCGGCGCUAACGCAAUAAGUAUUCCGCCUGGGGAGUACGGCCGCAAGGCUAAA
RNAcentral lists this ribosomal RNA (372 nucleotides) under uncultured bacterium. RNAcentral's name for it is "bacterial SSU rRNA". It matches the Rfam family "Bacterial small subunit ribosomal RNA", at positions 523 to 898 of the family's 1533-position model. The record is from RNAcentral.